UGAAGAAAAUCUCUUUUCAGCCAAUUGGUCUACAACUUGACCUCACGAUUCCUGGCAAUGUUGCAAAACUCGUAAAUGAAACUAUCAAGGCCUAUGGACACAUUGACAUUUUAGUUAAUAAUGCUGGAAUCGGUAGCUUUGCGCCCAUCCAAGAUCCGAAAUUCAAAGAGGUUUACUUAGAGUCACGAGCCAUUAAUGAAGAGGCGCAGAUCGACUUAACUCGUUUGGUAGCCCCAUAUAUCGUAAAUAGGAACGGUACGAUUAUUCUUAUGGCCAGCUUAUUUGCACGGAGUCCGGUUACAUCAAGUGCUGCGUAUAGUAUGGGCAAAAAUGCUCUAAUUGCAUUUGCAAUGACAUUGACUCAUGACCUGGGUAGCAACUGUCGAGUGAAUGUGAUAAGUCCCACAGUCAUAGAUGGCACUCGUAUCUUUCGGUUGCUCGACCCAUCCGUCCGUCCAACAUUAAUUGCGAGCCAGAUUGCAGCGUCAACAUUAAAGAGAGCCGGUGUUCCAAUGGACAUUGCUAAGUCAGUAAUAUAUUUAUCGUCACCUUUGGCCAGUUUCAUCAAUGGAAAAGAACUCCAGCUUGACGGUGGCUUAUCUAUUUCAAUUUUGUAAAAAUUUAGACUAACACUUCUAUGUGACUACAGUUUAUUAUUAGAAAUAAAAGGUGCUAGCCGUAGGUAGACAUUAA
Bradysia coprophila is the source of this 693-nucleotide RNA transcript. RefSeq lists it as uncharacterized. The record is from RefSeq and is a predicted model, not a curated record. NCBI's taxonomy places the organism in Eukaryota, Metazoa, Arthropoda, Insecta, Diptera, Sciaridae.